GACGAACGCUGGCGGCGUGCCUAAUACAUGCAAGUUGAGCGAUGAAGCUUGGUGCUUGCACCAAUUUGAAGAGCAGCGAACGGGUGAGUAACGCGUGGGGAAUCUGCCUUUGAGCGGGGGACAACAUUUGGAAACGAAUGCUAAUACCGCAUAACAACUUUAAACAUAAGUUUUAAGUUUGAAAGAUGCAAUUGCAUCACUCAAAGAUGAUCCCGCGUUGUAUUAGCUAGUUGGUGAGGUAAAGGCUCACCAAGGCGGUGAUACAUAGCCGACCUGAGAGGGUGAUCGGCCACAUUGGGACUGAGACACGGCCCAAACUCCUACGGGAGGCAGCAGUAGGGAAUCUUCGGCAAUGGACGAAAGUCUGACCGAGCAACGCCGCGUGAGUGAAGAAGGUUUUCGGAUCGUAAAACUCUGUUGGUAGAGAAGAACGUUGGUGAGAGUGGAAAGCUCAUCAAGUGACGGUAACUACCCAGAAAGGGACGGCUAACUACGUG
This 497-nucleotide ribosomal RNA is filed under the name uncultured bacterium. RNAcentral describes it as "partial 16S ribosomal RNA". It matches the Rfam family "Bacterial small subunit ribosomal RNA", at positions 28 to 507 of the family's 1533-position model. The record is from RNAcentral.